RNAcentral lists this ribosomal RNA (1162 nucleotides) under Campylobacter upsaliensis. Its description in RNAcentral is "partial 23S ribosomal RNA". It matches the Rfam family "Bacterial large subunit ribosomal RNA", at positions 5 to 1188 of the family's 2925-position model. The record is from RNAcentral. Lineage: Bacteria; Pseudomonadati; Campylobacterota; Epsilonproteobacteria; Campylobacterales; Campylobacteraceae.
AAGCUACUAAGAGCGAAUGGUGGAUGCCUUGACUGGUAGAGGCGAUGAAGGACGUACUAGACUGCGAUAAGCUAGGUGGAGCUGUCAAGAAGCUUUGAUGCCUAGAUUUCCGAAUGGGGCAACCCAGUAUAUAGAGAUAUAUACUACCAUAAUGGAGCGAACGAGGGGAAUUGAAACAUCUUAGUACCCUCAGGAAAAGAAAUCAAACGAGAUUGCGUCAGUAGCGGCGAGCGAAAGCGUAAGAGGGCAAACCCAGUGCUUGCACUGGGGGUUGUAGGACUGCAAUGUGCAAAAGGAAAGGUUAGCAGAACACUCUGGAAAGUGUAGCCAUAGAGGGUGAUAGUCCCGUAUGCAAAAACCUAACCUUAGCUAGCAGUAUCCUGAGUAGGGCGGGACACGAGAAAUCCUGUCUGAAGCUGGGUAGACCACUAUCCAACCCUAAAUACUACUACCAGAUCGAUAGCGAACAAGUACCGUGAGGGAAAGGUGAAAAGAACGGCGGUGAGCCGAGUGAAAUAGAACCUGAAACCAUUUGCUUACAAUCAUUCAGAGCACUAUGUAGCAAUACAGUGUGAUGGACUGCCUUUUGCAUAAUGAGCCUGCGAGUUGUGGUGUCUGGCAAGGUUAAGCUAACGCGAAGCCGUAGCGAAAGCGAGUCUGAAUAGGGCGCUAAGUCAGAUGCUGCAGACCCGAAACGAAGUGAUCUAUCCAUGAGCAGGUUGAAGCUAGUGUAAGAACUAGUGGAGGACCGAACCCGCUAGCGUUGAAAAGCUAUGGGAUGACUUGUGGAUAGGGGUGAAAGGCCAAUCAAACUUCGUGAUAGCUGGUUCUCUCCGAAAUAUAUUUAGGUAUAGCGUUGUGUCGUAACUAAAGGGGGUAGAGCACUGAAUGGGCUAGGGCAUACACCAAUGUACCAAACCCUAUCAAACUCCGAAUACCUUUAGUGUAAUCACAGCAGUCAGGCGGCGAGUGAUAAAAUCCGUCGUCAAGAGGGAAACAACCCAGACUAACAGCUAAGGUCCCCAAAUCUUACUUAAGUGGAAAACGAUGUGAAGUUACUUAAACAACCAGGAGGUUGGCUUAGAAGCAGCCAUCCUUUAAAGAAAGCGUAAUAGCUCACUGGUCUAGUGAUUUUGCGCGGAAAAUAUAACGGGGCUAAAGU